ACUUAAAUAAUUUAAAUAAAAUAUUAAUUUGUGGUAUUAAAAAUAUGAUAAUAUAUCAUUUUAAGUU
Non-coding RNA from Pectinophora gossypiella (pink bollworm), 67 nucleotides. The record is from the annotation of a RefSeq genome assembly. Lineage: Eukaryota; Metazoa; Arthropoda; Insecta; Lepidoptera; Gelechiidae.